AUUGAACGCUGGCGGCAGGCCUAACACAUGCAAGUCGAGCGAGAGGCGGAAGGGUGAGUAAUGUAUGGGGACUGCCCGAUAGAGGGGGAUAACUCCUGGAAACGGUGGCUAAUACCGCAUAAUGUCGGAGAACACCUAUGGGAGUAGAUAGUAGGUAAGGGAAUGGCUUACCUAGGCGACGAUCCCUAGCUGGUCUGAGAGGAUGAUCAGCCACGCUGUGACUGAGACACCGCCCAAACUCCUACGGAGGCAGCAGUGGGGAAGAGUGCACAAUGGGCUCAAGCCUGAUGCAGCCAUGCCGCGUGUAUGAAGAAGGCCCUAGGGUUGUAAAGUACUUGCAGUCGGGAGGCGUUACCGACAGAAGAAGCACCGGCUAACUCCGUGCCAGCAGCCGCGGUAAUAC
RNAcentral lists this ribosomal RNA (403 nucleotides) under uncultured bacterium. Its description in RNAcentral is "partial 16S ribosomal RNA". It matches the Rfam family "Bacterial small subunit ribosomal RNA", at positions 30 to 526 of the family's 1533-position model. The record is from RNAcentral.